GUUCCUACGGGAGGCAGCAGUGGGGAAUAUUGCACAAUGGGGGGAACCCUGAUGCAGCGACGCCGCGUGGGGGAAGGAGUAUUUCGGUAUGUAAAGCCCUAUCAGCAGGGAAGAACAAUGACGGUACCUGACUAAGAAGCACCGGCUAAAUACGUGCCAGCAGCCGCGGUAAUACGUAGGGAGCAAGCGUUAUCCGGAUUUACUGGGUGUAAAGGGCGUGUAGGCGGGCAUGCAAGCCAGAAGUGAAAUCUGGGGGCUUAACCCCCAAACUGCUUUUGGAACUGCGUGUCUUGAGUGAUGGAGAG
This 305-nucleotide ribosomal RNA is filed under the name uncultured bacterium. RNAcentral describes it as "bacterial SSU rRNA". It matches the Rfam family "Bacterial small subunit ribosomal RNA", at positions 335 to 656 of the family's 1533-position model. The record is from RNAcentral.